UGGGGAAUAUUGGACAAUGGGCGCAAGCCUGAUCCAGCCAUGCCGCGUGAGUGAUGAAGGCCUUAGGGUUGUAAAGCUCUUUCGCCGACGAAGAUAAUGACGGUAGUCGGAGAAGAAGCCCCGGCUAACUUCGUGCCAGCAGCCGCGGUAAUACGAAGGGGGCUAGCGUUGUUCGGAAUCACUGGGCGUAAAGCGCACGUAGGCGGAUUGUUAAGUCAGGGGUGAAAGCCUGGAGCUCAACUCCAGAACUGCCCUUGAUACUGGCAAUCUCGAGUCCGGAAGAGGUAAGUGGAACUGCGAGUGUAGAGGUGAAAUUCGUAGAUAUUCGCAAGAACACCAGUGGCGAAGGCGGCUUACUGGUCCGGUACUGACGCUGAGGUGCGAAAAGCGUGGGGAGCAAAACAGGAUUAGAUACCCUGGUAGUCCACGCCGUAAACGAUGGAGGCUAGCCGUUGGCGAGCAUGCUCGUCAGUGGCGCAGCUAACGCAUUAAGCCUCCCGCCUGGGGAGUACGGUCGCAAGAUUAAAAACUUAAAUGAAUUGACGGGGUCAUAGCUGUUUCCU
RNAcentral lists this ribosomal RNA (563 nucleotides) under uncultured bacterium. RNAcentral describes it as "partial 16S ribosomal RNA". It matches the Rfam family "Bacterial small subunit ribosomal RNA", at positions 355 to 1375 of the family's 1533-position model. The record is from RNAcentral.